Molecule: long non-coding RNA, 509 nt
Filed under: Homo sapiens (human)
Lineage: Eukaryota; Metazoa; Chordata; Mammalia; Primates; Hominidae
Description: HSALNT0113087
Source: RNAcentral
UUUGGAAACAGAAGGCCUCUUACGGAUCCCUGGAGCUGCCAUUAGAAUCAAGAAUCUUUGCCAAGAACUAGAAGCAAAGUUUUAUGAAGGGACUUUUAAUUGGGAAAGUGUCAAACAGCAUGAUGCCGCCAGCCUGCUGAAGCUCUUCAUUCGGGAGUUGCCCCAGCCACUGCUCAGUGUGGAGUAUCUCAAAGCCUUUCAGGCUGUCCAGAGCCCUUCUUGAAUUUCUCCAAAGAGUAAUAGAUAAUAAAGAAAAAAAUAAAAUGACAGUCAUGAAUGUAGCAAUGGUCAUGGCCCCGAAUCUCUUUAUGUGUCAUGCAUUGGGAUUGAAGUCCAGUGAACAGCGAGAAUUUGUAAUGGCAGCUGGGACAGCAAAUACCAUGCACUUAUUGAUUAAGUACCAAAAACUUCUGUGGACAAUUCCCAAGUUUAUUGUAAACCAAGUGAGGAAGCAAAACACGGAAAAUCAUAAAAAGGAUAAAAGAGCCAUGAAGAAAUUGCUGAAGAAA